Molecule: ribosomal RNA, 834 nt
Filed under: uncultured bacterium
Lineage: Bacteria
Description: bacterial SSU rRNA
Rfam family: Bacterial small subunit ribosomal RNA
Source: RNAcentral
CGAACCUUCGGGUUAGUGGCGGACGGGUGAGUAACGCGUGAGAAUCUGCCCUCAGGAGGGGGAUAACAGUUGGAAACGACUGCUAAUACCCCAUAUGCCGAAAGGUAAAACUAAUUUCGCCUGGGGAUGAGCUCGCGUCUGAUUAGCUUGUUGGUGGGGUAACGGCCUACCAAGGCUUCGAUCAGUAGCUGGUCUGAGAGGACGAUCAGCCACACUGGGACUGAGACACGGCCCAGACUCCUACGGGAGGCAGCAGCGGGGAAUUUUCCGCAGUGGGCGCAAGCCUGACGGAGCAACGCCGCGUGAGGGAUGAAGGCCUUUGGGCUGUAAACCUCUUUUCUCAAGGAAGAAGAUCUGACGGUACUUGAGGAAUAAGCCACGGCUAAUUCCGUGCCAGCAGCCGCGGUAAUACGGGAGUGGCAAGCGUUAUCCGGAAUUAUUGGGCGUAAAGCGUCCGCAGGCGGCCGUUUAAGUCUGUUGUUAAAUCGUAGAGCUCAACUCUAUCACGGCAAUGGAAACUGUUCGGCUUGAGUAUGGUAGGGGCAGAGGGAAUUUCCGGUGUAGCGGUGAAAUGCGUAGAUAUCGGGAAGAACACCAGUGGCAAAAGCGCUCUGCUGGGCCAUUACUGACGCUCAUGGACGAAAGCCAGGGGAGCGAAAGGGAUUAGAUACCCCUGUAGUCCUGGCCGUAAACGAUGAACACUAGAUGUUGGGGGAAUCGACCCCUUCGGUGUCGUAGCUAACGCGUUAAGUGUUCCGCCUGGGGAGUACGCACGCAAGUGUGAAACUCAAAGGAAUUGACGGAGGCCCGCACAAGCGGUGGAGUAUGUGGUUU